GAUGAACGCUAGCUACAGGCUUAACACAUGCAAGUCGAACGGCACCCACCUCCGGGUGGAAGCGAGUGGCGAACGGCUGAGUAACACGUGGAGAACCUGCCCCCUCCCCCGGGAUAGCCGCCCGAAAGGACGGGUAAUACCGGAUACCCCGGGGUGCCGCAUGGCGCCCCGGCUAAAGCCCCGACGGGAGGGGAUGGCUCCGCGGCCCAUCAGGUAGACGGCGGGGUGACGGCCCACCGUGCCGACAACGGGUAGCCGGGUUGAGAGACCGACCGGCCAGAUUGGGACUGAGACACGGCCCAG
Molecule: ribosomal RNA, 303 nt
Filed under: uncultured bacterium
Lineage: Bacteria
Description: bacterial SSU rRNA
Rfam family: Bacterial small subunit ribosomal RNA
Source: RNAcentral